Long non-coding RNA from Neofelis nebulosa (Clouded leopard), 1004 nucleotides. RefSeq lists it as uncharacterized. The transcript has 2 exons. Lineage: Eukaryota; Metazoa; Chordata; Mammalia; Carnivora; Felidae. The record is from RefSeq and is a predicted model, not a curated record.
GCUGCUUCUCAGACAGUAUAGAUCUCUACCGUAAUGCAUGGCCCCAUUCCAGAAUCUGUAGGCUCUGUGCUAUGUCUCUUCUACUGAGGACCGCACAUCUUUAUCCAGCGCAGAUACCCCAAGGCACCUUUAGAUCUGUUGGUCCCAUGGCCCAGGCAACAGAGAGCUUGGAACCACAACUUGGACUUGCUCCCCGUUCAAAACUGGUGGUUUUCUGAGUCAUCAGAGAAAUGGAACAGAAGUUUAGACUACGUUGCCUUCAAAAUCCAGAGACACUCCCGGGCAUUCUGCCUCUGUCCUAGUGCUAUAAGAUGCAAAGUGCAGCAGCUUGUUCUUUACCUUCGGGGGAUAUCCCCACACAUCCCAGACAAGUGGAACGCUAUAAAACUCACCAAUGUGGCGGGCUUCUGAAUCUUUGUGGAGUUUAUCUCCUACUUUCUCCCAUGCAGGUGUCUCAGUGCGUUUGGGAUACUUGCCAAUUCCUGCUCACCGGUUCCAAUUACCAUAGCGUCACCAAUACAGUGGAUCAGCAUGAUGUUCUGCUAUAUCAUGACAGAAAGCAAGAGAGUUAACAUAGCCCCGAGGCAAGACAGUGAGACACAAUAAUCUAUUAAUUUACUGCCAUGGAUCCCUCUGGAUCAAGAAACCCUGACUAUCACUUCAACUUCCUGCCUAUCAAGCAAUUAUGUUCGUUGGGCCUCUGAAAGCCCCCACUGAACUUCUCCAAAAUGCUCAUCUCUUCGUCGUCAGUGUGAUUUUUACUGACUUAGUAAAGACCAUGUCGUCUGAGUGAUGGGUUCUUGGACCAUACACGGUAGACCCAUGUUUAAUGUUCCCACUUCCCUAAGUCUUCUGAUCUCUUCUUUAACACGAUGCCAAGGUGAUUCUGGCAUCUCAUUCUGGUCACUGUGUCCCCUUGUGGAGUCCAGGCUUCAAAUAGCCAGCCCGGCAAGUUAUGCAGGUGUUUCUUGACACAAAGUAAAGUGUGAAUCAUAAAUGAAGUA